This 673-nucleotide long non-coding RNA is filed under the name Cricetulus griseus (Chinese hamster). Its description in RNAcentral is "lncRNA (ENSCGRG00015031300.1)". Lineage: Eukaryota; Metazoa; Chordata; Mammalia; Rodentia; Cricetidae. The record is from RNAcentral.
GUCAGGCAACCUUAAUAAGAGUUCUCACAGCCUCUGUGGGAGGUAGCUAAUUAAGAUGGGUGUUGGUUCUGGGAGAAUGUGGCCAGCAAGAUCACAGACACGAAACUGAUAUACUUUCCAGCCAGUUCCUCAGCACCAUUGUUCUGCUCUUGACUCAUGACUCGAUAUAGAAGAAGAACGAGGAAUUGAAAGAGAAAAUGGAGGACCGGGGUUCAAUUCCAGCACCCACGUGACAGCUCACAACUGUCGGCAACUCCAGUUCCCAAGGGAUCCAACUCCCUUGCACAGACAUGCAGGCAAAAUGCCAAUGCACGUAAAGUAAAAAUAAAUAAAUUUAAAAAAGAAAGCAUGGAUAGUCUUCAUUUAUUCAUAGUCCAGUCCUGCCCUCACACCUUGUAUUAUUUUGAGCCAGCCCAGCAUCAGGUACGUAUGUAUUGUAAAGAUGUACACCAGUGUCUGCGCCUGUGGUUUUGUGACAAACAGGAAUGAACCGGCCUCAAGUCACUGUUUCCACUCGAAUUUCUGGCAUGUUCACACUGCAGAGGAAGGAAUGCAGAACAGAACAUGCGUACUAGUAGACACAUUUAACAAAUGCUAGGCAGUGGUGGUGGACGCUUUUAAUCCCAGCACUCGGGAGGCCGAAGCAGGUGGAUCUCUGUGAGUUCGAGGCCAG